UAAUACUAUAUUAUAACCCUAGAACUAGCACAAACUCCCCUAGUUCUAAGGUUAUUUGGAUCAUGUAAUCCCCUAAGUAAAUGAUGAAUUGAGAUUAGCUAUAUUAUAACUAUAAUUUCUCAUAUGUGAUGCAUAUUAUAUAUAUUCAUAUAGUUACAGGGCUUGCAAGUUCUUUUCUCAAAUAUGAAGUAUCAAAAAAUUGAAAAUAUAUAUAUUAAUUGCAAAAAAUAUACAUUAAACAUUCAUAAAUAAGCAUUUUAAAUCAAUAAUAAAUUCCACUUGAGUUUGCAGUAGAAACUCCAUCAAGACUGAAAGCCUUUUCAUGAACCCUGCCCUGAAUAUUUAAUUACAACUUGAGAAAAAGAGUGAUGAAGCUAUAAACUAUUUGGAUAUCUUGAUUAUAAUUAGGGAAGGAGAAUAACAUCUACCUUCAAAGUCCAACAAAGAAGUGAUCAGAAACAUUUGCCACUUGCUGUCAUAAAUCAUACUUUAGUUUCUAGGGAAAAUCCUACAUAUAAAAAAGGUGGGUUGGGGAAAAAGGGAAAACCAAUUGACUCUCUGCAGACAGGGAUACUGGUUGAACUGAUAUUAAGUAAAACAAAGGAGGAGAUUCUAUUACCAGAAGUCAAAUUAUGCAGAUGUUAUAUAGAACAUGUUAUACAUGUUCAUCUCAUAUGAAAGUACAAUAGAAGACAGCAUAAUUGAAAAUCUUUUCACAAACUCUGUCCUGGAUAUUAAAUUACAGUUUGAGAGAAAGAGUGAUGAAGCUAUGAACUGUUUGGAUGUAAUGAGUAUGAUUAGGGGAGGAGAAUAUUACAUGGAGAUGUACAGAAAAGGAACAUACAUACCAUUUCUGAUCCCCACUUGGUCAUCAGAACCAUAGCCUUAUAAAAUUUCCUUGUUCAGAUCUCAUUUAAAAAGCCAAAAUAUUCCAAGCCAAAAUAAAGGAAUUAAAUUGGAUUAUGAGUGAAGUGGCUUGACAUGGAUACAAACAUGGAUAUAAUGAGAAUAAUUAGGAGGCUGUACAUAAAAAUGUGCAAAAAUGAUGGGAAACAAGCAUAGAGCAAAACCUGAUAUAGAUAGAUGGAUGUAUCAAUUUUUAGCAUCUAAGAAUUAGAUGCCAAAAAUUGAGGAAAAAACUAGAUGUAAUAUUGUGUUUUCCACAGGGAACACAGUUUUCAACAGAAUUAGGAACACUAAAAAUCAACACCCUCCAGAAAGGAAAACAGGAUUUUAUAGAAUUGAUCUAUUCAAUUAUAGCACAAUUUAGGAGUGACACAUCUAAUAUACAUCAAGAAAUUUAGUGACUAGAAUUAAUGAACAUUUACAAGAUGUUAAUAGUGAAACUGUGUUGAUUGUUGUAUCAAGGAAGGUAUACCAAUUUAAGGUGACUUCCUAUGGGAUGAAGCAAAGAUUAUUAAACUAAUAAGAAACAUGAGACAAAGAUUAAUAGCUGAGAUGCUCACUUUCUUCUUAGAGAAACAGGAGGAAGGCAUAGUCUUGAAUGAGAAUGAUCCACAUAGAUUAAACUGUGCUUAAAGAUGAUGCUACUUUAAUAAUGGCUGAAUUGAGCAUGUUCUGUGUCAGUUAUAGGCAUCAAAUCUCCAAUUCCAACCCACUGUAGCUUUUAUUUGUGUGUGUCAUUUUGGCUACACACUAAUUACUGAUAUCAUUAUUUUUAAAAAUUAAAAAUUUUAUUUACUUUUUAGUUGUGAUAUAGUUUUAUAAAACAGAAACUUGGUAAAAAUGUAAGAUGUAAUGGAG
This 1764-nucleotide long non-coding RNA is filed under the name Androctonus crassicauda. The record is from RNAcentral. Lineage: Eukaryota; Metazoa; Arthropoda; Arachnida; Scorpiones; Buthidae.